UGGGGAAUAUUGGACAAUGGGCGCAAGCCUGAUCCAGCAAUGCCGCGUGUGUGAAGAAGGCCUUCGGGUUGUAAAGCACUUUUAUCAGGAGCGAAACGCUGUCGGCUAAUACCCGGCGGAACUGACGGUACCUGAGGAAUAAGCACCGGCUAACUUCGUACCAGCAGCCGCGGUAAUACGAAGGGUGCAAGCGUUAAUCGGAAUUACUGGGCGUAAAGCGUGCGUAGGCGGUUUCUUAAGUCUGCUGUGAAAUCCCCGGGCUCAACCUGGGAAUGGCAGUGGAUACUGGGAGGCUAGAGUGUGUCAGAGGGUGGUGGAAUUCCCGGUGUAGCGGUGAAAUGCGUAGAGAUCGGGAGGAACAUCAGUGGCGAAGGCGGCCACCUGGGACAACACUGACGCUGAGGCACGAAAGCGUGGGGAGCAAACAGGAUUAGAUACCCUGGUAGUCCACGCCCUAAAGCGAUGCGAACUGGAUGUUGGUCUCAACUCGGAGAUCAGUGUCGAAGCUAACGCGUUAAGUUCGCCGCCU
This 529-nucleotide ribosomal RNA is filed under the name uncultured bacterium. RNAcentral's name for it is "partial 16S ribosomal RNA". It matches the Rfam family "Bacterial small subunit ribosomal RNA", at positions 355 to 874 of the family's 1533-position model. The record is from RNAcentral.